This 980-nucleotide long non-coding RNA is filed under the name Lathyrus oleraceus (garden pea). RNAcentral describes it as "Pisum sativum (pea) long non-coding RNA (PSAT_LNC011317)". The record is from RNAcentral. Lineage: Eukaryota; Viridiplantae; Streptophyta; Magnoliopsida; Fabales; Fabaceae.
UCAAUCACAGGAGAAUCCAUAAAUCUCUUUGAACCAAUCACCGCGCUCUUCAUCCAUUUUCUCUCUCGAUUCCUCCAUUCUCAAUUUCUACAAUCCUCUAGCAUAGCCUCACAGAAAAACCUCACGCAUCACAGUAAUCCCGGAACAACAUUGUGACAACCACUAUGAUUCAACGGGAUAAUGAUGCAAAUGGUUCACGCGCACAAAACAGAAGCGAUUCAGAAGAAGAAUAAGAGAAGGUGAAUCAAAUCGAAGAAAAGAAAGGAUUCGGUACCUAUUCGUGUCGACGCUUCGAUUUAGUGAGUUUCUUAUGUUUGAUUCAAUCUCAUUUCUUUCUAUUUGUGCAAAGUUGAAUUAAUGUGAACAAAGAAUGUUGAUAGAAACCGAUUAUGGAACUGUGUUCUUCAUCUCUUCCUCAUUUCAAAUCCAUGCGUGAACGCCAUUGACAAGGACGAAGUGACGCCAGAGAGGAAAAAGCGUGAGUCGGUGCCGAUUCCGAGCUUUUGAAGCGAUAACUGGAGUGCGGUGAUUAGCCCGAGUUUUGUCGAUUGGCAUGGAAACUUUGUAUCGUGUUGAAGAGGUGCUUUAAGGAGUCGCCAUUUUCUCCCGUCUCAGCUGAGUGAAUUGGUUGAUUACACUGCACAUUUUGUGACUGAGAUGGAUCCGGGUUUGGGCCUAAGGCCCAAACGGAUUGUUUAUGCCAUUUCCUUGCUGCAAUUCCCUUCAGUUGGGUCUGUACCCCUUUGAUUCAAUCAAUUAGGGCCCAGGUUCUUUUUUUCUUUCUUUUUUUAAUUUUAUUUUGUUACAUUGUAUUUAUGAUUAAUUAAUUGCAUUAGCUUAAUUGGGUGGGAAUUAGGAAAUCAAUCCAUCUCAAUUUCUUUUGAAUUAGAUUUAAAAUUAAUCAAGGUUCAUUAGGUUAAUUAGAUCUCUAAUUAAUUUAAUUAGAUUAUUCAUUUUAGAAUAAAUAUAAAUUUAGGUCA